ACCCAUUUAAUUCAAUGGUUAGAGUAUCGCUUUCAUACGUCGAUAGUCAUCGGUUCAAAUCCAAUAGUAGGUC
Molecule: transfer RNA, 73 nt
Filed under: Austrocedrus chilensis
Lineage: Eukaryota; Viridiplantae; Streptophyta; Pinopsida; Cupressales; Cupressaceae
Description: tRNA-Met
Rfam family: tRNA
About the family: Transfer RNA (tRNA) molecules are approximately 80 nucleotides in length.
Source: RNAcentral